This 1367-nucleotide ribosomal RNA is filed under the name Escherichia coli. Its description in RNAcentral is "partial 23S ribosomal RNA". It matches the Rfam family "Bacterial large subunit ribosomal RNA", at positions 1484 to 2827 of the family's 2925-position model. The record is from RNAcentral. Lineage: Bacteria; Pseudomonadati; Pseudomonadota; Gammaproteobacteria; Enterobacterales; Enterobacteriaceae.
AUGUUGGCCGGGCGACGGUUGUCCCGGUUUAAGCGUGUAGGCUGGUUUUCCAGGCAAAUCCGGAAAACUAAGGCUGAGGCGUGAUGACGAGGCACUACGGUGCUGAAGCAACAAAUGCCCUGCUUCCAGGAAAAGCCUCUAAGCAUCAGGUAACAUCAAAUCGUACCCCAAACCGACACAGGUGGUCAGGUAGAGAAUACCAAGGCGCUUGAGAGAACUCGGGUGAAGGAACUAGGCAAAAUGGUGCCGUAACUUCGGGAGAAGGCACGCUGAUAUGUAGGUGAAGUCCCUCGCGGAUGGAGCUGAAAUCAGUCGAAGAUACCAGCUGGCUGCAACUGUUUAUUAAAAACACAGCACUGUGCAAACACGAAAGUGGACGUAUACGGUGUGACGCCUGCCCGGUGCCGGAAGGUUAAUUGAUGGGGUCAGCGCAAGCGAAGCUCUUGAUCGAAGCCCCGGUAAACGGCGGCCGUAACUAUAACGGUCCUAAGGUAGCGAAAUUCCUUGUCGGGUAAGUUCCGACCUGCACGAAUGGCGUAAUGAUGGCCAGGCUGUCUCCACCCGAGACUCAGUGAAAUUGAACUCGCUGUGAAGAUGCAGUGUACCCGCGGCAAGACGGAAAGACCCCGUGAACCUUUACUAUAGCUUGACACUGAACAUUGAGCCUUGAUGUGUAGGAUAGGUGGGAGGCUUUGAAGUGUGGACGCCAGUCUGCAUGGAGCCGACCUUGAAAUACCACCCUUUAAUGUUUGAUGUUCUAACGUUGACCCGUAAUCCGGGUUGCGGACAGUGUCUGGUGGGUAGUUUGACUGGGGCGGUCUCCUCCUAAAGAGUAACGGAGGAGCACGAAGGUUGGCUAAUCCUGGUCGGACAUCAGGAGGUUAGUGCAAUGGCAUAAGCCAGCUUGACUGCGAGCGUGACGGCGCGAGCAGGUGCGAAAGCAGGUCAUAGUGAUCCGGUGGUUCUGAAUGGAAGGGCCAUCGCUCAACGGAUAAAAGGUACUCCGGGGAUAACAGGCUGAUACCGCCCAAGAGUUCAUAUCGACGGCGGUGUUUGGCACCUCGAUGUCGGCUCAUCACAUCCUGGGGCUGAAGUAGGUCCCAAGGGUAUGGCUGUUCGCCAUUUAAAGUGGUACGCGAGCUGGGUUUAGAACGUCGUGAGACAGUUCGGUCCCUAUCUGCCGUGGGCGCUGGAGAACUGAGGGGGGCUGCUCCUAGUACGAGAGGACCGGAGUGGACGCAUCACUGGUGUUCGGGUUGUCAUGCCAAUGGCACUGCCCGGUAGCUAAAUGCGGAAGAGAUAAGUGCUGAAAGCAUCUAAGCACGAAACUUGCCCCGAGAUGAGUUCUCCCUGACUCCUUGAGAGUC